AAGCGGAGGAAAAGAAACUAACAAGGAUUCCCCUAGUAACUGCGAGUGAAGCGGGAAAAGCUCAAAUUUAAAAUCUGGUAGUCUUUGGCUGCCCGAGUUGUAAUCUAGAGAAGCGUUAUCCGCGCUGGACCGUGUGUAAGUCUCCUGGAAUGGAGCGUCAUAGAGGGUGAGAAUCCCGUCUUUAACACGGACUACCAGGGCUUUGUGAUGCGCUCUCAAAGAGUCGAGUUGUUUGGGAAUGCAGCUCUAAAUGGGUGGUAAAUUCCAUCUAAAGCUAAAUAUUGGCGAGAGACCGAUAGCGAACAAGUACCGUGAGGGAAAGAUGAAAAGAACUUUGGAAAGAGAGUUAAACAGUACGUGAAAUUGUUGAAAGGGAAACGCUUGAAGUCAGUCGCGUUGGUCAGGGAUCAACCUUGCUUUUGCUUGGUGUACUUCCUGGUUAACGGGUCAGCAUCAAUUUUGACCAGUGGAAAAAGGUCAGGGGAAUGUGGCAUCUUAGGAUGUGUUAUAGCCUCUGGCCAUAUACAUUGGUUGGGAUUGAGGAACUCAGCACGCCGCAAGGCCGGGUUUUAACCACGUUCGUGCUUAGGAUGCUGGCAUAAUGGCUUUAAUCGACCCGUCUUG
RNAcentral lists this ribosomal RNA (624 nucleotides) under Entoloma sericeum. RNAcentral's name for it is "LSU rRNA". It matches the Rfam family "Eukaryotic large subunit ribosomal RNA", at positions 48 to 656 of the family's 3401-position model. The record is from RNAcentral. Lineage: Eukaryota; Fungi; Basidiomycota; Agaricomycetes; Agaricales; Entolomataceae.